Molecule: ribosomal RNA, 254 nt
Filed under: uncultured bacterium
Lineage: Bacteria
Description: partial 16S ribosomal RNA
Rfam family: Archaeal small subunit ribosomal RNA
Source: RNAcentral
UACCGGCAGCACGAGUGAUGGCCGAUGUUAUUGGGCCUAAAGCGUCCGUAGCUGGCCGAGCAAGUCUGUCGGGAAAUCCAGUGGCUCAACCUCUGGACUGCCGGCGGAAACUGUUCGGCUUGGGACCGGAAGAUCCGAGGGGUACGUCCGGGGUAGGAGUGAAAUCCCGUAAUCCUGGACGGACCACCGAUGGCGAAAGCACCUCGGAAGGACGGAUCCGACAGUGAGGGACGAAAGCUAGGGUCUCGAACCGG